Molecule: long non-coding RNA, 681 nt
Filed under: Fukomys damarensis (Damara mole-rat)
Lineage: Eukaryota; Metazoa; Chordata; Mammalia; Rodentia; Bathyergidae
Description: lncRNA (ENSFDAG00000023944.1)
Source: RNAcentral
ACCCUAUCCAGUCCCGCACUACAAGCCCCACAAUGCACCGCCGUUGUCGCGACUGGUCGCCAGCCAGCGGGUGGCGUGAGUGGGGGUCGCUGGCCAGCGUGUAGGGACCUCCCUCUCGGCCUGCCAGGUGCGGUGAGGCGCGCGAGGCUGUUCCCGGGGAGGGUGGCGCUCGGCGGUAUUUGCUACCAACUGUUGCGCACUUGCCGGAAGCCAUGUGAUUAAAUGACCGCUUUCUCAGUUGCCUCUUGCAGUACCUAGCAAAGGGAAAUUGAGACCCAGGAGACAAGCAAUUUGCCCUAGAGCGCACCGUAGUACAUUGGUAGAACUUGCAUUCAAACCCAAGCGAUCUAUUUUCCAGGUGUCCCUCAAGAUCCUGGGGAAGAAAUUGGAAUCAAUUCGCAGGUAUCACCCGCCUAGGGAGUGGUAGAGACUCAGUGAGAACUUGACACCAUGACCCUUAGCGCCUCAGCUUUCCUUUGGCGGCCUCUGAAAGCCUAAGGGUUGCGCCAUAUUAGUGUCCUGGGCGAAUUGAUGAAGGAAGCAGGAGUCAUAACGUUUAGACCGACCACCUUGUCCUCUCUCACCCCAAGGGAUUGUCAAGGCUUCCAGAUACAGUUUUCUCAUAUUUUGACCCACGUCCUCUUGAAGGCCAGCUUCUCACAUGCUGUGGACCUACUCUAG